This 2673-nucleotide long non-coding RNA is filed under the name Rattus norvegicus (Norway rat). RNAcentral's name for it is "long non-coding RNA NONRATT021551". The record is from RNAcentral. Lineage: Eukaryota; Metazoa; Chordata; Mammalia; Rodentia; Muridae.
UGAAGGGGGGUGGCAAGGGUGUGCAGCCAGGGCGGGUUGGGUUGGGAAGGUGGCUUAACUGGAUAUUGUGACUGAGUAACUAAUGUGCGAGGUACUACUCUCCAAGCCUGAGCAUGGCUCUUCUCUUGUGCUGACUUGCUCAGAGCAGUUUCCAAUUUUACUUUAUUUUUGAUGAGCUCUUUGGAGUUAAGGAACUGCAGUUGUUUUUCCCUUGUAAGGAAUGUUGUCUGCAUUUUAGCAAAAUAAGCUGACCAAGAAAAACAGUAUUUAAGAAAUAAUUUUCCCUGCUGUGUACCUACCAGGAGCAGGGUACCUGGAGAGUUUAAGGAGUUUGCAGCUGGGUAGUAGAGGGAAAAACAGGAGAUACAAACCAGAUACAGCACUCAGCUCCCCAUCCCCUGACAUUUCCAUGAUGAACUGGGAUACCAGUGGCCCAUAAAGCUCUUGUCUCCUGUCCUGAACUCAAGAGAAAACAGAUUUGAAAGUUCUUGGAUGAAUGUAACUUUGGAUGGAUGUGAGUUGUACAUCAGGAAAGCAGGGCUUGAUGGUGACUCAUUUAGUGACUGCUGUCCUGUCCUCAGUGUAUAGCUGCUGUCACUCAUCUGGGUUGCUUUGCCUUCAUGAUCUUCAUAGGGGCUGCUUCUGGCUCUUUUCCCCCUCAGCUCUAAAAGACACUAUUAGUCAAAGUCUGCAAUGGGCCUUUAGCUGUGUUAAUUACAUCUUGAAUCUUUUUGGACAGUUUUGUUUUCCUAAGUCCCUUCAGUAUCUGAUUCUUAUGAUGUCUUAAUUCCCUUAAAUUUUCUGCUUUUUUUUUUUUUUUUUUCAAGGAAAUACAUGUUUCCAGACACUAGCAAGCUGCUUAGUUCAGUUUGGGUGUUUCUUAUGCCUUCCAGAGUGAUUCCCAGAAACUGAGCUGCUGCGCGGCCCCACCCAAGUGCACAAGACCGGGCUUUCUGUGUACAUGAAGCUGUUACUAGGUGUUACUGCUUCCACAGACCAACCUCUCUAGUUUCCUCAUGGUCCUGUCUGGUGCACUCUUAGUUCUACUUGUCACUCACUAAGGUUUUUGUUGAUACUCUGUGGAACUGAAUCUUACCAAGAGCUGCUGCUAUGAGUAGAGGUGAGGUGGUCGUGUCUGAGGGUGAAAGAACAAGUGUCCUGUCCUGAUCAUACUCCAAGGACAAGGGACUUGGGAGGAUUGAUAGUGCUGUGACUUCUGUGUGGCUAUCACUGUGCUGUAUGAUAGGUCUGGAAAGAUCAUGCAGCUUCCAGUAGUUCGUCAGAUCAGCAUGUAGAUAUGGGCAGAGACUGGAAGGAAAGGACUGCGGUCUGGAAAGUUGUUCCCCUUUUCAAAUGGACUGGUUUGCUGAGUUUCCAUUUUGUCUUGGUGCCAUGGAUAGAACCCAGAGUCUCACUUGUGCCAGGUUAGUCCUACCCUUUAGCUGUUCUCAACCCUCCCUUGAUUUGAACACAGUCCCAGCAGUUAAAAAAGUCCCUCUUUUUCCUGUUUGAGUCUCAUAAGAUGGCAUCUUGUGAAAGUGGCCUCCCACUCAUGUCACAUCUUAGCAGCUCAGGGAACUUGUAUCAAUUCCCAAAACCUCGCCAUCAAGAGAGAAUGAAACUAGGAACUCCUUCUGAAAGGACUUUAUUCCUGCUUAAGCUUUUAGCUUGGCUUGUCACCUCUUAUAAGAAGAAAGGGAGGGUAUGGGUAGGACAUUCAAAAAGAUUCUCUUGUAGUCUCCAUGAGAUCAAAAUUUAUCAGGAUUGCAGGAAGAUCCUUGAGAAUCUUUGUCUCCAUAGUGCACCUUUCUCUGAGUACCCGUCUGGGAAGCUUAUGCAAGCCUGAGGUGUCUUUGUUCCAUCCUUAAGUUUUGCUCUUUGGAAGCUAAGCUGCUAGGAGUGGUCCAAGAGGCUGGCCUCCCUCCCUGUGCUGGCUCUUUUAUUUGGAUGUCAUUUUCUAGCCUGGUUUCAGGGGUGUGUGCUGUUGGGUAUACCUGGAAUUCAAGGGCUGGUGUGUUGAGUCCACCUCAGAGGCAAGGUACUGUAGGCUUGGGAUGCAGCCAAUGAACUGGUUCUUAGUAAUUUAUGGAAAGACUUAUUCCUGUGACCCAACUCUUCUACCGUCCAAUGUUGUGAGGAAGCACAGUUGUACCCUAGACUACAGACUCAGCCCCAAUUAUGAGUUUUAGGUUGUUUUUGGAAUUCUCAAACUCAAAUUGCUAUAUAAAUUCUUAUACAGCAAUAGAAAGCAUUCUAAAUAGUUGCUAGUCUGGCUGGUCACAGUAUCCAUUUAUUAGAGACUGAGUUCUGUGAUUAUUUGACCUUAUUAACUUGGGGGGGGGUGCCUCUUCAUGAAUUUUGGACUGCAUCACAAAUCUGAGGUAGCCAAAGCCUUGGUACUGUAGCUCAGGGUCAGGACCAGUUUCUAUCUGUAGUGUACCUGACUUGAGGUUAUCAUAUAAACAAGCCAGAAGAUACUCAGAAGAUUGGGUCUUUUUUAUUGAACCCAGGCCCUCACAUGUGCUAUGCAAGCACUACACCAAGCUGUAUUCCAGGCCUGCUAAAGGCUGAGACUGGGGUAGCAUUCCUAUUUCCAAAGUCACAUGACCUAUGAUUGCUUCAUUAAGAUUGUAAGGUUAACCAUGGCUUAAAAAUAAAUGGUUUUGGUGAACU